GGCGGCUGCAGCAGCGUGGAAAGGGGGGGUGACGACCCGCGGACGUAAGGCGGGCAGAUCUGGGGGGGCCCCGACUCCCCGGCGGCCAUGUAGUGGUGCGGGCGAAACUCUGGCCCCAGAUAGGACCGGGAACUAGAUCAAACCUACUUGGAUUCUUGUGAACCAUUCGUGUGAAUUAUUUGGAACUGGAAUUUCACACAGACCCGGGGAAUUUCUCAAAGUUCAAGACGGGUCAUAUUCCAUGGAAUAUGGAAGGAGUUGGUGGAGUGAUUUCACCUUUCUGAUCAAGAACUGAUAGCCAUUAAAACUCAGCUCCGCAAUAUAUCCUCCCACUCCAAGGGAGGGCUGAAAUGAUCACUUCGUUUUCUGUUACGGCUACUUUUAUAUUUUUCAACAUUACUGCUGGUCUGUAAGAGAACUAAAACAUCUGAUUUUCCUCAUUUCCUUGUAAAGAGGUGUUC
Molecule: non-coding RNA, 461 nt
Filed under: Pongo abelii (Sumatran orangutan)
Lineage: Eukaryota; Metazoa; Chordata; Mammalia; Primates; Hominidae
Source: RNAcentral